Non-coding RNA from Rattus norvegicus (Norway rat), 3577 nucleotides. The record is from RefSeq and is a predicted model, not a curated record. Lineage: Eukaryota; Metazoa; Chordata; Mammalia; Rodentia; Muridae.
GAGGCCUUCAGAGAUGCGCUUGGGGAGCUGCGGCCAAGCGGGAGGCGGCUGAGGGGGACCAAGACGCCCCUGUGAAAGGGGGUGGGUUUCCCUGGGUCAGAGUGAGGUGGGAGAAAGGCGCCACACGCUCGUUGCGGACAAUCCCUCGGGCCAGAGCUCUCAUAUUUGAAAAGGCUCCCUAGUCUCCCUUGGCAACGGAGUCCUAGGCUCUCAGAUCUAGCACUUAGAAAGUUCUGCUCACUAGCUAACCCUAAUGACAAAAGCUAGCAUUUAUUGAGAACUCGCUACGAUCUGGGCGUAGUUCUAAAUGCACCAUGUCGAUUUUGAUUCACUUAAUGCUCAGGGCAACGGUGACUUUGACCAUCCCUACUCAGUGUUGGAGAAUAGUUUUGGAACCCACCAGGAUACAACUGUUAGCAAAUAGCACAGCAGAGAUUCGAACCACACCUCAUGCCAGGGCCUGUCACAGGAUUCUUGCUAGUUCAGUGCCACCUGUGGCCACUGAAACACUCCCCAGAGAAUAAAGGCAAAAGUACAUUGGGCUCAACAACCAGGGCUCCCAUCUCAGUCCAGUGCUCUUCUGUUUCCAGAGGGUCUCCUUUUGCCACUCUUUCCCAAUUCAUCCAGGUAGCAACUGUCAGCUGAUUUGUCCCCUUCUCCCCUCAAGCCACCAAGAAUUUCUGGAAGAGAAAAUCACUGCUCUGGGGAGCAGGCAGGUUCAUGUUUUCUCAGAAGUGGGCUUCCCAGAGGCAAGCAUUGGUGCCUCUAACUCUGUGGCAAAUGGAGAGGGAGCUAAAGACCCUUAUUGGGUCCUUAAGAAAUGAUCUGCACUCCUUCCUAGAUCUUUUCCACACCACGGACCCGCAACUGGUUGCUGUGUGUUCUUCCCUUCUCACCCCAAGUCGGCCCAGCUCUGGAUAGGAAUCGUGUUGCUACAGUCAGUUGCAGACUAUCUUGGAAGCUAUUUGGAUCAAGCUUACUCCACGGCAUCCUGGCACGUUGACCACUGCUCAAUUCUUUGCUGCUGCACUUUGAGAGAAGAAGAAACAGCAUCCUGCAAAAAUUAUCUGCAAGGCGUGGAAAGGACUCUGGUGGUCCUGGCAUCUCCUUAGUUUGCUGAGACCAUAAGCGCUAUUCCGGCAAGCAGGCUUUCUCUCUACUCCCGUUUAAUUGUGUGCAGACUCCUGUAGUGGGAGAAACCGGAAUCCGUGCUAACUUGUUGGCAUGACAAAUACAGGCCAUUAAGAAACCUGGAAACAGGUUCUUGGCCGUUCCUACCCCAUUUUGAGCAAAUGCCUUUGCCCCUUCCCAAUUUUCUCGUGUACUAAAGCUCCACCUUCAGGACACAUAUUCACAUUUGAAGAGUAUGGGAAAUAGGAAAGAACUCGAAAAAAAAAUAUUUAGGCACAGGGUCUAUGUUUCUUUAAAGGCUUUCUCUUAGACACACCCAUCUGUCAGAGGGGGUAUGCAGCUCACCCAUGACAAAGCUUCUCUCACCAACUGGCUGGGACCCUCCAUCUUGUUGGGUGUCCCUCAUGACACGUUUCGGAACUUCUUGUAACACAAAUGGCUGAAAAUCAAACAAAAGAAGGUGGUCCAGAUCCAUCCUCCAGACAGACCUGCUACCACGGAAACGGGCCGUUCAGAUGGGUUCUGAACAGUUGCGUGCACAGCCUUUGCUAGCUGGAAGAGUCUUCAUAAUGAGAAAAUAUCCACUCCCUCAGGCACUGGAGGCAUUCUGGGUUAACCAAGCCAUCUACAACCAGAUUCAUUUCUGCUAGACAGGGCUUUAUAGAUUCUGUGGUUUCCUGCUGAGACUUGGGACAUUAAGAACUGUUCAGUAGGCAAUUGGUCACAGUCACAAGAUGGUUAUCAUUCACAUUUUACUUCUCUGGUUUUCUUUUUUUCUUCUUCUUUUUAACUGACCAUGGUUGGGUUGAUAGGGGCCGGAAGCAACUGAGAAUGUUAGUUCUGGUGGUCAACAGAUUCUUUACGUUCUCUUUCUAUGUCGCUACAACACCCUGCACAGAAAUCGGAGCAAUUCCAUACCAGACACAUCUGUCUUGACUCCCUUGAAUUUCAGACAGGCCACUUUUUCUCUCCACAGCUCUGCUCCUAUCUAUGUGGUCUUCAGGCUGAAGACCUUAUCAAAGUUUCUGGCCCCUUUUGGUGACUGACCGGAAAAUGAAUUGAGCCAGCUUCCUUCCUGGUUUGCAGAUUAGCAGAUAGUUGAAAGCACACAUUAGAGGAAGUAUUGUUUUAUAGUUUGAGUUGAUGCUGAGAGAGGAGUUGAACAGAGUUCCACCAAUAGGGAAAGUCAGUCGAAUUCAGCGCAGUCAGGAGAUAUGGCUGAGGGAUCUGGCUGUGAUGUCUGUCACUUCAUUGAUUGCCAGAGUUGAGUUGACUAAGCUGGCUGGCCAGGUGGUCCUGUUCUUCCUCCCCCAGCCUUCUUGUCUUCCUCCCUCGAAGUGCUAUACUCUCUAAAGACAAAGACCAUCGGUCAAGGGUAGCUCACACGCUGUAACCUUUAAACAAAUUCUCAAGAUGUGGCUAAGCGGAGUGCAAGACCCAGACAGUCCUGUCUGUCACUCAACAUGGCCUUGGAUGGACGGAGAGUAGCCCUCCGUGCUUGGUGACAGUACCCAGCUGUUAGUUCCUGUAAGAAGGCUGGGUAGUAUGAUGGGCUCACCUCCAACAUUUCAGUUGUCAACUUUCUCUGUCAUGACUUAGCAGAGUUAUAUUACAUGUCGCUUCCCAGAAGAGCAGGAUAUUCGAAACCACUAUUCUCUGCUUUAGAGACUCAACACUGACUUUCUUUAAGCCAUAUAACGUCCUUCACUAUUAUCAGGGCCUAUGGCAAGUGUGACAAAUGCCAAAUCUUCUCUGAUGUCAUAAAGUCCAAGGCAUUAAUUACCCUGGUACUUGAUACUCUGCUGCAGAAGCAGUGUGCUGAGCUGGUUAAGAUUUUGUCAACUUGACACAAACUGGAUUCAUCUGGAAAGAUGGGAUUUCAAUGGAGAAAUUGGUCUGUAGGCAAAUCUGCAGGGCAUUUUCUUGAUUAAUGAUUGAUGUGGGAGGGCCCAGCCCACUUCAGGUGCUGCCACCCUUGAGCAAAGGGUCCUGAGUUGUACGAGCAAACUGUAGAGGGCAAACCAGUAAGCAGAGUUCCUCUAUGGUCUCUGCUUCAGGUCCUGACCUCACUUCUCUUCAUAAAGGACGGUAAGCUGUCUGAUGAGAUUAACCCUUCCCUCCCCAGGUGGCUUUCUGACAUGGUGUUUCUCAUAGCAAUAGAAGGGAAACUAGAGCAGCAUGAAGUUUCUUCAAACACCCGCUGUGUCUGUGGUGAAGCAUCUAAGGCUACCCUUGAUUGACAGCAAAGUACAGUGAAGCCAUCAGCAACCACAGAGUUUUCAAAUUCAUCAGCUAAUGACAUCUUCAGCUUUGGGACACUUCCGCAACUUGGAUGGUCUCUCAAAAAUUAAAGUUAAAUUUAUUUAACUUUAAGUUAAUUGCAUUAAUUGAUUAAUUUGAUUUUAAAUUAGAAUUAAUUUUUAUAAAUAAAGAUUUAUUUUUGGAA